GAGUGGCGGACGGGUGAGUAACACAUCGGAACGUACCCAGUAGUGGGGGACAACCUCGAGAAAUCGAGGCUAAUACCGCAUACGACCACGGGUGAAAGCGGGGGACCGCAAGGCCUCGCGCUAUUGGAGCGGCCGAUGUCCGAUUAGCUUGUUGGCGGGGUAAGAGCCCACCAAGGCGACGAUCGGUAGCUGGUCUGAGAGGAUGAUCAGCCACACUGGGACUGAGACACGGCCCAGACUCCUACGGGAGGCAGCAGUGGGGAAUUUUGGACAAUGGGGGCAACCCUGAUCCAGCCAUGCCGCGUGCGGGAAGAAGGCCUUCGGGUUGUAAACCGCUUUCGGCCGGAACGAAAUCGGGCGGGUGAACAUCCCGCCUGGAUGACGGUACCGGAAGAAGAAGCACCGGCUAACUACGUGCCAGCAGCCGCGGUAAUACGUAGGGUGCGAGCGUUAAUCGGAAUUACUGGGCGUAAAGCGUGCGCAGGCGGUCUCGUAAGACAGGUGUGAAAGCCCCGGGCUUAACCUGGGAAUUGCGCUUGUGACUGCGAGGCUGGAGUGCGGCAGAGGGAGGUGGAAUUCCACGUGUAGCAGUGAAAUGCGUAGAGAUGUGGAGGAACACCGAUGGCGAAGGCAGCCUCCUGGGCUAGCAC
RNAcentral lists this ribosomal RNA (650 nucleotides) under uncultured bacterium. Its description in RNAcentral is "bacterial SSU rRNA". It matches the Rfam family "Bacterial small subunit ribosomal RNA", at positions 93 to 740 of the family's 1533-position model. The record is from RNAcentral.